CCCGUCUCUGGGUGUGCUCAUUCAAGAUGUGCUCCUCUGUUUGCUCACAGCUGCCAGGUGAAUGCUCCCUUUGUAAUUGCUUUGCACUUGCACCUCUGUGCAGUGCCUCCUCUUUGCCUUCCAGCUGUUAAACACAUUUCUCUCCAGCUACGUUUUCCUUAUUCUUCAGGUGGAGAGCCCACUCUGUAAUAUUAAUUUGCCUUGCCUUUUUGCAUCUGCAGUGCAGAUGUAUCAGCUGUGUCUGAGCAAUUUGUAAUUGCCACAGGACAUAUCCAUUUCAAUACAAUUUUUUGAAAUGGGACUUUUAGAGAUUAUGAGCCUACACUUCUUUUCUUGUAAAGAAUUAUCACUUGACAGGAGAUAACAGAUUUCAAAUAAUUUAGAAUUCAAAAUGAAAUAAUGAAAUAAUCUGCUGCCUCUUUGCUCUAAUAAUUAUCCUUGCUUUGACAUUAGCAAUUCAUUUUCACUGUUGCUCUUAAACAUCUUGGAAAAGUAACCGCAAACUGGUUUUUUUUUUUGGUGCCCACGUUAAUUACUCUGUUGUCUCUUUACCUAUAUGAGUCAGCAAGAUGACUUGUUCAAUAGCCCUGUGUCUAGUUUAGUGCCUUUUCUAUACAAAUAGCUACACCAAACAGCACAUAAAUAGGAAGGUUUAGUACCACUUAAAUGUGUUGCAUUUGAACUCUUUGCUCCUUUGCUGCAGACUGUGCUCACUGCUUAGCUUUGACCACAUCUGAGUAAGACUAGAGUGGGAUUCAUUUCUCUUCUUCAUAAAAUUGCCUGCACCUCAGAACUGUUGCAGUUAUCUCGAUCACCUCUUCCUGCAAGUGGUCCAACAACAGCAGGAAGGGGUGGGUUUGGGCCCCGUUCAUCUGCUCCAGGAGGCCAAGCUCCAGAAGUGACCAAGUGAGAACAACAAUCAGAGAACUUCUCUGGGAGUGGGAGAGAAAGAGAAUCAGAUGAUCAGAGGAAAAACGUCCCAUUGCAAAGCCACCACAAGGCAACUAUGGAAAUUUGAAACAGAAACAAGAACUGAGGAUGAAAGUUAAAACCGGGUCAAAAUCUUGCUUUGUUUUCCUAUCUGAACCAAUAAGCUCAGCUGUAGCUCAUUCAUCCAGAGCAUGAGGCCAGAGGAGAGCAAAGACAGCAGCAGGAGCAGAGCUGUCCAUGCAGUAAGAGGGCAGGGUGAACGCACUGCAUGUUUCAUACUAUCCAGAGAUGAGCACUGAUUCAGAUGGAGAUCUUG
This is a long non-coding RNA of Gallus gallus (chicken), 1246 nucleotides long. The record is from Ensembl. NCBI's taxonomy places the organism in Eukaryota, Metazoa, Chordata, Aves, Galliformes, Phasianidae.